CAUCCCUACCCUGACUUGGAUUUUCUGAAGCAGCAGGAAGAGGAGGAUUCUGUUUUUACAACAUCCCUUCUGACAGCUAUUAGAGGAAAGUACUUUAAAGCAUUUCGCUGUGAUAUUUGGAUGCUUUCACUCAAACAGAAGCCAUGCGUUUCAAGCAGAAGUUGCUGGGUGAGGCUGCAGUCUCCAGAGGGUCAGAGUGAACAUUUGUGACUGUUCCCCUGCCCUUAAGAUGUAUGAAUUUGUGCAUUUCUGUAUUUAUGAAUACAUUUUUCUGUGCGUAAAUCACUGGGCACCAUUUAAAGUGAGUCAUCUGUAGGGAAAGAUGCAUCACUCCUGUGAGCUUUUACUCAAGGCUCAGAACUAAUACUUGGUCAGGAAUGGUGGGGAGGUCACUGGCUUUGACUUUCUACUGUUUAACCCUUUCUUAGGUGUCCAAAAGUCAACCCUGCUGAACUAAUAUAUUAAUCAGCAAUCUGGCCUGAGCCAUGAUGCUGCUUAUUCUACUGGUUUUUAGAUCCCAAAGUGUAGAAGGAGUUAGGGGGAAAGCAAUGGAUCCAACUGAUGGUAAAACAGCUCAAAGUCACUCUAGUGAUGGGUGAUUCUGUUUUUAUAGCGGCCAGCAAAGUUCACCAAAGCCCAUUAAGGCUUCUGAGCCAGGUCAAUGGGCUUUGGAUCAGGCGCUUCGUCAGGAUGGCUGCGUGGUGAACUGUGCACCUAAUACACUUUUAAUGAAAAUGUUAUCCUCUGGAGCGAGGCCAGGUACAACCAGAGUGGGAGCAAAGACCCUCCAUUCCCUUGCAAUCACAGGGAAAGAUAUUACAGCUAUUUCAUAAACCUGUGUGUUUUAAAAGUCUAAGAAAACCAGCCCACAUCAACAGCGGAAUGAGCAGGCUUCGCCGUGGACACGUCAUUUAAUCACAAUUUAAUAAGGCUCCUGUAUCAGACUUUCGUAAUGAAACUUUCGGGUAGAACCAAACAAAGGGGUCACUGUGGGAGAGAAGAAUGCAGCCUUUGAGUCACAGUUUCUUUUUAGGGUUCACCGUGUUUCGUUUGCAGUGAGCUGCUGGUGAAAUGCAAUGCUUUCCGCAUGCCAACUGUUACCUCAUAAAUGGUCCUUAUGAAAAGUGAUUUGUGAUCACGAGAUGAUUAUCAGCCUUCUUGGCCGAGCUCCUGUGAGAAGCGUGAGUUCUUCUUCCCCCAAAGAAACCUUCAGGUAUUCAAGCCUUUAACAAGUGCUCCCAAGAGGUGUUUAGGGCCUGGAUGACAAAAAGGGUCUUUAAUAAGACAGCAAGCUGUUGGGAGCUAAUAAGUUGGCCUGGGACAAAUAUGCUCAAUCUGGUGGUCUUGGUUGUGUUGGGAGGACAUGGGAGCAAUGGCGUAUCAGGCAGGGAUGACUGUCUGCACUGAGGACCAAAACCCGCUGUGCCUAAUGAUGCCAGAAGAUGUUCACCCCCAUUGGGAUUAAUGGUCUUCCAGGUCUUCAUGUUUUUGGAGGUUGGUGUGUGAGCUGGUAGCUCACUGAGAGAUGAAGAUGGCAGUGAAUGAUCUGGAGAACAUCAGUGGUGAUGGUGUGCAGAGGACAAAGGUGUCUUUGCUGUCGGCCUGAGCCUCUUGAUGUUGCUGUUCCUUUUGCUUAACAGAUUUCUGAUUACAGUGUGGUCCAUCCUCUCUCCUUAUUCUGCAGAGCUGGGGUGGGGGCCCAAGACCAAUGGGGUAGGGACAUCCAUCACCCCAUAACAUCCCUGAUGGGCAGCAUUGGCUGAAGAUGAAUCCGACUCUCUCUGUUGAAAAGAAAACCCAGCCCCUGAGGCUUUCCAAGAAAACACUGUUGAUGAAACUGGGUUUCCAUUGGCACCAGGACUUAAACACUCAGCAAAUAAAGCAGCAUGGGAGCCGUAAUCAGCAUGUGAAGAACAGCCCCCGGCACAGCCAGAUCCCCUGAAGACUGCUGAAUAGUUACAUUUCUGUAAUGCUUCCUCCUAUGACGUGGUGUGACAGCAGAUAUUUCCUCCCUCAAGAUGAAUUUGUCAUUAACAAAGCCAGGAGAGGUGACAGUGGCAGAAGCAGGGCUUGUAAUCACCUUCAGUAGCAAGAUAUUUUGCAGGAACACAAACAUCUAAAGGCAAAUAUUUUGCUUUAUUCCCCAAUAUUCAUUUCUGGUCCAUUGGAAGAACUGCAUAGCUUACUAAUGAGGGAAUUGGGAACCAUGAGCUGUAAUCCUUGGCUGAGUGAAGCAAUGUGCUCAUUACAGCUGUCAAUCAUCUCCCUCCUGCCUCCUAUUUCUGAUCUGUAAAUUGAGGUUAAUACCCUCUAUACACCAAAGGUGCAGGGAGGAUUAAUUAGACAGCAUCUGUAGCACUGCAGUCUUCUCUUUGGGCAAUGGUUGGAGCUCCUGAAGACACACAAAUGUCUCAUUGGAAAGCUGUUUUCUAUUGCAAACCUGAACUGGGGUGCUUCAGUUCUGAAUCACUGAGAUAUUCUUGUUUUCAUCUGAAACUUACCAGUAUGAAACAAAUGAUACUGACACAAGGGGAACAUGAAGAAAAACUGACCUUUGAAAGGUGUGUAGAGAUUUACCUGUGAAGGGGAUCAGGGAGAUUUUUCUUAGUGAAGGAAAAAUCCUAACUCCAGCAUCCCAAAUACUUGGCAGCAGCGUAAUCAUGACUUUAAUAGAGCACUUGGUUUUCCUGUUACAAUAAAUGAGGUCUGCUCUCUGUUAAAAACAAAGCAAAGGGGAAGCAAACAACCCGCAACCCCAACCCUUGGAGGUGUCCAGGGAAAUGGCUUCACUAUUGGGCAUAUCUCAAAACCUAUCCAGGAACUGUGUGUUCUCCAGCGGAUUAAAUUCACCCACCAGUCACUUGUUGGGCUACAUUAGCAAACAAAACAAACCAGCUGACACUCUGUGCUAUACUGCACAGCAAAAUAACACCACUCCCAAUGGCUUUUCCAAUUCCAGGCAUGGAGCAGGAGACUUAACUACUUACUGACUCGGCUCUGCUCACCCAGAAAGGACCCAACCUGAUGGAUGGCUCCUGACCUCUCCCCUACGCAUGGCCACCAGCCAGACUGCCACUUGGGUGUCUUCUGCAUUGGGAGAUACAAACCUCCCAUCUGGCAAGAGUCCAGCCCUAUUUUUAUUCCAUACCAUGGUAAGAAAUGCUACACUUCCCUGAAUGGAUGACCUCAAAGUCACACGUGGGUUAAAUAGAAGCAUAAGUUAUCUGGACUUGCAGCCAUGAAGCCAUUCUCUGGGAGGAAAGGGUAAAUAAACAAAUCAUUUAUUAGCAAGUAAAA
Long non-coding RNA from Pezoporus flaviventris, 3297 nucleotides. RefSeq lists it as uncharacterized. The transcript is spliced from 2 exons. The record is from RefSeq and is a predicted model, not a curated record. NCBI's taxonomy places the organism in Eukaryota, Metazoa, Chordata, Aves, Psittaciformes, Psittacidae.